CUCAACAAGGCAAGGCAAUAUCUCACUCUCAACUCAGGGGGCAAUCCACCGGCUUUCGGAAGAGAAUCACGGCCUCAGAUUUCACAUGGUAUUCUCUGGCAUCCACUAACUCUGCUAACAGCAGCCAGACGACUGCAGCUGACAACAAAGAAAAGGCAUCAGCAGCGAAGCCUCAGGAACAGGAGGAGGAGGUCGACAUCGACCUGGAGGCGCCGGAGACGGAGAAGGCAG
This is a non-coding RNA of Epinephelus lanceolatus (giant grouper), 231 nucleotides long. The record is from RefSeq and is a predicted model, not a curated record. Lineage: Eukaryota; Metazoa; Chordata; Actinopteri; Perciformes; Serranidae.